Molecule: long non-coding RNA, 1122 nt
Filed under: Homo sapiens (human)
Lineage: Eukaryota; Metazoa; Chordata; Mammalia; Primates; Hominidae
Description: HSALNT0333526
Source: RNAcentral
CCUUAACGGCCGGAAGGUCAGCGAAGUCCCGGAUGAGGACGGGUGGAAUGGUAGCGACCAUGGGGCAGUUGGCCUUCCUUCUACCAGACGUUGAUGUGGGAAAAGAGAAACGGAGUAACAGGACACAUUUAGCGAUUUGGAGAUUCCCAUCACGCUUUGGGAGGAUGUACCGGCGUUUAUAGGAGACCUGCGUGUAUAAUGGUCUCACUAUGUUACCCAAGCUGGUCUCAAACUCCUGGCCUCAAGCAGUUCUCUCAAGUAGCUGGUAUUACUGGUGAGAGCUACCACACCCAGGUAGAAAACUAAAAGUUUUCAUAACUCUGUUGGCAACAAAACCUGACCUGAACUGAGAAAACCUACAACAAAUACACGGUGCUGAGAUUAUCACCAGCAAUAUCCCAGAACUCAAAUAUGAAGAUGGAACAGUGCCCGUGGCAACAAAGAAGUAAAAAACUUCAAGCAGACGCUGUAAGAAUCAGACUUCCAAAUCCGUGACAUCCCUCUCCCAAAUCUGCCUAGCACCAAGCAUGUGGAAAACUUCCCCCACCUCACCGCCAGUUUCUACACUGGAAAAAGUGAGAUUGAAGUGGAUAACCAGUUUCCCCACCAUCUUGGAUUCCCUGGCAAGAGAUCUGUCCCUAAGUACUUAAAGGGAGAAAUAUUCCCAAAGACAACCAGAGAAAAAGUGGGGAGGUGGGACUUCCUUCCCCAACCCUAGAAACACUCUUCUUUAACUCAGCCAAAGGAGACGCCAAAUCAGCGAAGCUGGUCAGCAGCGACACACCAUAGGAGGUAUGUUCCACAGGUUCCCUGAGCACGAAAUUCUAGCCAGACUUCCCACCCUAUUGGGAUAUCCCCCGUAAGACCUUCUACAUUUGGGUCCGGCAGUGCUCCAGUCAUUUACUAGGGCCAAGGAAAACCUGGACUGCAGACUCCAUGUGAUGUCAGAAAGAAGGCAAGACCAAGAGGGCGAAAAAAAAGUAGAUGCUGUCAUGCUUUCUGUACAGCCUGCAGAACCAUGAGCUAAGUAAACCUCUUUUCUUUAUAAAUUACUCAGUCUCAUGUGUUUCUGUAUAGCAGUGUGAGAACAGACUAAUAUACAUGACUUCCCCAAACAGACAA